RNAcentral lists this ribosomal RNA (406 nucleotides) under uncultured bacterium. RNAcentral describes it as "partial 16S ribosomal RNA". It matches the Rfam family "Bacterial small subunit ribosomal RNA", at positions 29 to 526 of the family's 1533-position model. The record is from RNAcentral.
AUUGAACGCUGGCGGCAGGCCUAACACAUGCAAGUCGAACGAGUGGCGGACGGGUGAGUAAUGUCUGGGAAACUGCCUGAUGGAGGGGGAUAACUACUGGAAACGGUAGCUAAUACCGCAUACCAUCGGAUGUGCCCAGAUGGGAUGAGCUAGUAGGUGGGGUAAAGGCUCACCUAGGCGACGAUCCCUAGCUGGUCUGAGAGGAUGACGAGCAACACUGGAACUGAGAAACGGGCCAGACUCCUACGGGAGGCAGCAGUGGGGAAUAUUGCACGAGGGGCGCAAGCAUGAUGGAGCCAAGCCGCGUGUAUGAAGAAGGCCGUAGGGUUGUAAAGUACUUUCAGCGGGGAGGCGUUACCAGCAGAAGAAGCACCGGCUAACGCCGUGCCAGCAGCCGCGGUAAUAC